CCUACGGGAGGCAGCAGUGGGGAAUUUUGGACAAUGGACGCAAGUCUGAUCCAGCCAUUCCGCGUGCAGGACGAAGGCCUUCGGGUUGUAAACUGCUUUUGUACAGAACGAAAAAGUUUCUAUUAAUACUAGGGGCUCAUGACGGUACUGUAAGAAUAAGCACCGGCUAACUACGUGCCAGCAGCCGCGGUAAUACGUAGGGUGCAAGCGUUAAUCGGAAUUACUGGGCGUAAAGCGUGCGCAGGCGGUUAUAUAAGACAGAUGUGAAAUCCCCGGGCUCAACCUGGGAACUGCAUUUGUGACUGUAUAGCUGGAGUGCGGCAGAGGGGGAUGGAAUUCCGCGUGUAGCAGUGAAAUGCGUAGAUAUGCGGAGGAACACCGAUGGCGAAGGCAAUCCCCUGGGCCUGCACUGACGCUCAUGCACGAAAGCGUGGGGAGCAAACAGGAUUAGAUACCCUGGUAGUCCACGCCCUAAACGAUGUCAACUGGUUGUUGGGUCUUCACUGACUCAGUACGAAGCUAACGCGUGAAGUUGACCGCCUGGGGAGACGGCCGCGAGUAGAACGUACGAAGAGUAGUAGACGNGAGAGACGACGACGACGGACGACGACGGAGGGAGGAGG
RNAcentral lists this ribosomal RNA (623 nucleotides) under uncultured bacterium. RNAcentral describes it as "bacterial SSU rRNA". The stretch from base 1 to 541 matches the Rfam family "Bacterial small subunit ribosomal RNA", at positions 338 to 873 of the family's 1533-position model. The record is from RNAcentral.